Molecule: unclassified non-coding RNA, 268 nt
Filed under: uncultured Nitrospiraceae bacterium
Lineage: Bacteria; Pseudomonadati; Nitrospirota; Nitrospiria; Nitrospirales; Nitrospiraceae
Description: contains 16S-23S intergenic spacer region
Source: RNAcentral
UCCGGUUUGUCACCGGCAGUCUCCUUAGAGUGCCCUUGCGGGCUCAUUACCGUUUCCGGUUCUUAAUACCAGCAUGUCAAACCUGGGUAAGGUUCUUCGCGUUGCGUCGAAUUAAACCACAUGCACCACCGCUUGUGCGGGCCCCCGUCAAUUCCUUUGAGUUUCAACCUUGCGGCCGUACUCCCCAGGCGGGGAACUUACUCCGUUAGGUGCGGCACCGGCAGUAACCUGCCGACACUUAGUUCCCAUCGUUUAGGGCGUGGACUAC